Molecule: long non-coding RNA, 246 nt
Organism: Myotis myotis
Lineage: Eukaryota; Metazoa; Chordata; Mammalia; Chiroptera; Vespertilionidae
Exons: 3
Source: RefSeq, a predicted model, not a curated record
CACCGAUGUGACUUAUCAGACAAUUCCCUGAUCUUUGCUUCGUUUUGGAAUGUGCAGCCAGCCUCAGGAGAAGCCAGCAGAUUCUUCCCAGCUCCUGAUAACCAUCAAUUCUCAUGAUGAUAACAUAUGUGAAAUGAUUUCAGGAACUGCAAAGUACCAUACACAUAAGUGACCUGGAAUUGCCAACUUACUGAAUCAAAAUUUAUGAGAGAGGCCUCGCCAACAUGGCUCAGUGACUGAGCGUCG